RNAcentral lists this long non-coding RNA (225 nucleotides) under Homo sapiens (human). Its description in RNAcentral is "HSALNT0329952". The record is from RNAcentral. Lineage: Eukaryota; Metazoa; Chordata; Mammalia; Primates; Hominidae.
CCACUGGCUCCAAAGGGACCUUCUACCAGGGAAUUUGAUUACUUGGAUAGAGCCCUUCUGUCGACCACUGACCUCAGGGCUAGCUCCCCAAAACGUCGCCUUCUCUACGCUCGUUUCUGCAAAGUAGCAACAGAACAACUUCCAGUAAAAGAAGGCACUGAGGUUUAAGUGCUACGUGGGAGCAGUUGCCGAUUUUUGCAAUGGGAGGCUGCAUAGAUUCAAGGU